RNAcentral lists this ribosomal RNA (483 nucleotides) under uncultured bacterium. RNAcentral describes it as "partial 16S ribosomal RNA". It matches the Rfam family "Bacterial small subunit ribosomal RNA", at positions 30 to 507 of the family's 1533-position model. The record is from RNAcentral.
AUUGAACGCUGGCGGCAGGCCUAACACAUGCAAGUCGAGCGGAUGAAGGGAGCUUGCUCCUGGAUUCAGCGGCGGACGGGUGAGUAAUGCCUAGGAAUCUGCCUGGUAGUGGGGGAUAACGUCCGGAAACGGGCGCUAAUACCGCAUACGUCCUGAGGGAGAAAGUGGGGGAUCUUCGGACCUCACGCUAUCAGAUGAGCCUAGGUCGGAUUAGCUAGUUGGUGGGGUAAAGGCCUACCAAGGCGACGAUCCGUAACUGGUCUGAGAGGAUGAUCAGUCAACGUGAAGGUGACACCGCACCCAGGCACUUAGGGAGGGCGCAGGUGGGAAAGUUUGGCAAAAGGGGGAAAUCUGGAACAACCCGGGGGGGGGGGGUGAAGAAGGUUUUCGGUUUGUAAAACCCUUUAAGUGGGGAAAAAGGCUGUUAAGUUAAACCCUUCGUGUUUGAAGGUAACCAACAAAAAAGCCCCGGCUAAAUUCGUG